Molecule: RNA transcript, 2478 nt
Organism: Bolinopsis microptera
Lineage: Eukaryota; Metazoa; Ctenophora; Tentaculata; Lobata; Bolinopsidae
Gene name: protein dj-1beta-like
Exons: 5
Source: RefSeq, a predicted model, not a curated record
UCUCCCUGAAAUACACAUCUCUUACUACGCACCCUUCUCUCAAGGUAUGACAAGUACAAAGCGAGCUCUGGUUUGUAUAGCUCCGGGGUUCGAAGAGGUUGAGUUUACUGUGCCAGUUGAUAUUCUCAGACGAGGCGGAGUGGACGUUAAGAUUGCUACUAUUCUCGAUGAUAUGAGCCCGGUACCAGGACGUUGUGGUAUCAAGAUCUCCCCCGAAUGUCUCAUAUCUGAAAUAACUGAGGAUGAUUUGUACGACCUUGUAUUUGUUCCUGGUGGUCUGGCAGCUGCUGAAGCUUUUGCUGCCUCCCCAACUGUAGGUGAUAUCUACACGAGGCACAACAACCAGAACAAGUUUGUGGCUGCUAUCUGUGCUUCACCCAUUGCUUUCAAUAAACACAAGAUAAACCACGGUAGACGUAUCACGUGCUACCCGGCUCUUGCUAUUCGACUAGAUGGAAACUACAAGUACUGCUCUGACUCUGUGGUGGUUGAUGGGAAUAUGAUAACCUCAAGAGGGCCUGGAACUGCCUUCGAUUACGGAAUGGAACUGCUUGAGCAGCUCAAAGGAAAAGAUACCAGGGAUCAGAUUGCUAAAGAUAUGCUGUACACCUUAUGAGAGCCGAACUUGAUCUUUUGUUCCAACUUGAAAAGGCAUAAAAAAGUCAUAAAUGAACCCACUGCUCUCUAUAGUCAUGGUAACCUAUACUCCUUAAUCUCGCCUACUGCGGAGUCCUAAACCCUAAAUUCCCAAUUUGUUCCUCAACCUCCUUGAACCUAAAAAACCUAAAUUCCUCAUUCCUAUUACGUGUCCUUGACUCACUCCUUACCUAGUCCUCAACCCUAAAUUUCAACCAGUCCUAAUAAAUUGCAACCUUGAUUCCUGUUCUCCGACUUUCCUAACACCCUAAGAUCCUAAAACCCAUCACUCCUAACCCUAACUACAAUUCUAGUAGCGUCAAAUUGACUAUGGUGGAACGCAAGCGUGGGAGUCGUGACAGGUACGACUCAGAUGAAGACAGGGAAAGAAACUAUGACUCAAAACGAAGACGAAGCAACGUCCACAUCAUCAAGCUACUCUGCCCUUACUACAUUGCCGGAGCUGUGAUCGGUAAGGGAGGUGAGCGGAUCAGGGAAGUUAAAGAUCGUUCCGGAGCUAACAUAGAGAUCUCACGUCAUGAAGCUAGGUUUCCGAACACAGAUGAGCGUGUUAUUGCUAUUGAGGGAGAGCGAGACGAGCUGCAAUCUGCUGCUCGGUAUCUAAAUGAGAACAUGAGAGAAGGUGAGUCCACCACUGCAGCCUCGUCAUCCUCCCGCAGUAAUGACUACGACUCUGAGCGCAGGAAGAAGACAUGCAAGAUCCUGGUGUCUGACUCUGCCAUGGCAAUGAUCAUUGGACGAGGAGGGGAUAAUAUCAGGGAUAUAAAGAAGGAGUUUGCAGUUCAGAUCAACACUUCAAAACGUCACGAGACACCUCGUGAGCUGGACGAGAGGAUUGUCACUAUCGAGGGGGAAGACAGAGAUGUUGACAAAUGUGUUGAUGAGCUCAUCUGUCAGAUCUCCUCUGAUGAUAGAUCCAGGAUGAAGUUCUUCGUAGACUACUCCGAGAUCAGACACUACAGCCGGGGACGUGGUGGCGGUGGUGGAUAUGGUGGUGGUGGUUCUCGUAACAGGGGCAGAGGUAGAUCCAGAUCCAGAUCUAGAUCUCGGGGUAAAAGAUCUAGGUCCAGGUCCAGAGAAAGGGCCCGCAAAUCACCAUCAUUUGAGGGAAGAAGCAAACGUCGUACUCGCAGCCGCACCCGUUCCCCAGUCCGUUCUCCCUCACGAUCCAGAUCCCGGUAGAUGUGGAGUGUCGUUGAGCUUGCUGUCUCGUGAAGGUAACUGACAAUUUACAGACUUAUUGUAUACCUUGCUAUAUGUUUUUCAAACUUAAAAAAUGCGGGAGUCAAUUUUACUUACUUUAUACAUUUGAUUACCUUUGGCUUUUUCAGCGAUAUAUUUGGACGAUUUGUAUUUACGAGCAGCAGAGCCAUUUCUCAUAUUUUUGUCUGAGUUUAAUCGCCCUUGAAGUCAGAUAUCAAUCAUCAAUAAUAGUAGUUGUGCCAAGGUAUAUCAAUUUAUAGACCGCUUAACUGAUGAGUGAUAUCAUUGUAUACUUGUAUACCAUCGCAAAUAUUGCUACUAUUCAACAUUCAUACAUGAUACUGUUUUGCAUAUCCGAUAAUUUCUCCCAAAUUGAUCAAAAUAUGUAUUUGUUCGUGUCUUUAAAUUUUUCGGAGCAACAUUAAAUUCUAUUUUAUUGAAAUUUUACAGAAAAGCUCAAUGCUUGCUAAGUAUUGAUGUCUUUACGAUGAUUACUGUGAAAUGUUUUACAAAUGAUUUUCCUGAUUGAAUUGCGCCCCAGCUAAAAUUAGCAACUAUCUUGCGUUUGAAUUGAAAUGGAAUAUUUCUCGCUGUUUCUCAAAAUUAUUUUAUUUAUAA